Molecule: ribosomal RNA, 393 nt
Filed under: uncultured bacterium
Lineage: Bacteria
Description: partial 16S ribosomal RNA
Rfam family: Bacterial small subunit ribosomal RNA
Source: RNAcentral
AUACGGAGGAUCCGAGCGUUAUCCGGAUUUAUUGGGUUUAAAGGGUGCUCAGGCGGGGGAUUAAGUCGGCGGUGAAAUUUUGCAGCUCAACUGUAAAAGUGCCUUCGAAACUGGUUUCCUUGAGUGUGGAUGAGGUAGGCGGAAUUUGUGGUGUAGCGGUGAAAUGCAUAGAUAUCACGAGGAACUCCGAUUGCGCAGGCAGCUUACUAAACCAUAACUGACGCUCAAGCACGAAGGCGUGGGGAUCAAACAGGAUUAGAUACCCUGGUAGUCCACGCAGUAAACGAUGAUUACUGGCUGUUUGCGAUAUAAUGUAAGCGGCUGAGCGAAAGCGUUAAGUAAUCCACCUGGGGAGUACGUUCGCAAGAAUGAAACUCAAAGGAAUUGACGGGG